This 474-nucleotide ribosomal RNA is filed under the name Enterococcus faecium. RNAcentral's name for it is "bacterial SSU rRNA". It matches the Rfam family "Bacterial small subunit ribosomal RNA", at positions 1 to 453 of the family's 1533-position model. Lineage: Bacteria; Bacillati; Bacillota; Bacilli; Lactobacillales; Enterococcaceae. The record is from RNAcentral.
UUUUAUGAGAGUUUGAUCCUGGCUCAGGACGAACGCUGGCGGCGUGCCUAAUACAUGCAAGUCGAACGCUUCUUUUUCCACCGGAGCUUGCUCCACCGGAAAAAGAGGAGUGGCGAACGGGUGAGUAACACGUGGGUAACCUGCCCAUCAGAAGGGGAUAACACUUGGAAACAGGUGCUAAUACCGUAUAACAAUCAAAACCGCAUGGUUUUGAUUUGAAAGGCGCUUUCGGGUGUCGCUGAUGGAUGGACCCGCGGUGCAUUAGCUAGUUGGUGAGGUAACGGCUCACCAAGGCCACGAUGCAUAGCCGACCUGAGAGGGUGAUCGGCCACAUUGGGACUGAGACACGGCCCAAACUCCUACGGGAGGCAGCAGUAGGGAAUCUUCGGCAAUGGACGAAAGUCUGACCGAGCAACGCCGCGUGAGUGAAGAAGGUUUUCGGAUCGUAAAACUCUGUUGUUAGAGAAGAACAAG